Molecule: unclassified non-coding RNA, 22 nt
Filed under: Arabidopsis thaliana (thale cress)
Lineage: Eukaryota; Viridiplantae; Streptophyta; Magnoliopsida; Brassicales; Brassicaceae
Source: RNAcentral
AAAAAUAGCGAUAAUCGCCAGC